Molecule: long non-coding RNA, 2611 nt
Filed under: Gossypium barbadense (sea-island cotton)
Lineage: Eukaryota; Viridiplantae; Streptophyta; Magnoliopsida; Malvales; Malvaceae
Description: long non-coding RNA (GBAR_LNC001573)
Source: RNAcentral
UCGUUAAACCAUUCGAAAUAAAAGUUGGAUACUCAGGAGUCUUGCGCACUAAGUGCUCACAUCAUGACCCGAAGCCAACUCAAUAUAUCUCGCACCCAAAGUGCUAAUAUCAUUGCCCGUAGCCAAAUCAGUGAAGCUUGCACCCGAGGUGCCGAUAUCAUGGCCUGAAGCCAAAUCAAAGUAACUCGCACCCGAAGUGAUGAUAUCAUGGCCCGAAGCCAAAUCAAAGUAACUCGCACCCAAAGUGCCGAUAUCAUGGCCCAAAGCCAAAUCAAAGUAACUCGCAGCUGAAGUGUCAAUAUCAUGGCCCAAAGCCAAAUCAAUAUAUCUCCUAAUGACAAGUCAUUAGUAUCCUAAUCUAUUCCUAAAGUUCAACCGGGAGUUUCAAUGUCGAAACAUCGUCGAAUGUAUCCGUAGAGUCAAAUUUAAAAUUCAUACAAUAUCAAAGCAUUUAAAACAUAAUUAUAUCAAUGCUUAUUACAUACGAACUUACCUCGAACGUAAAAACGAUGACACGGGUCAACUAAUCUGAGACUUUGUUCUUUCCCCAAUCUAAGUUCAUAUUUUGCUUUUCUUGAUAAUUGAGCUAGAAAGCUUGGCCGAUUGAAACCCUGAAAGAAUGACUUCUUUUCUCUUUAAAAUCGGUUGGAGAUAGAGAAAUAAAGAUGAAUAUUGUUUUUGUUUUAUUUAUUUUAAGCUUAUUAACUAAAUACCAAAAUUAACAUUGGUUAUAAAACAUAAAAAUAACUUAAUACUUGUCCAUACUUAUCCACUUAUAAUUCAAAUGGUCUAAUUACAACAUAAGGACAUCCACUAUUUAAUUUCAUGGCUAAUAAACCCUUUUAGCUUGUAGAACAAUUUUUUACUUUACGCGAUUUAGUCCUUUUUACCAAAUUAACAAAUUAAACGAUAAAAUUUCUUAACGAAAUUUUCACACAAUUAUUCUAUCAUACUGUAAACAUUAAAAUAAUAAUAAAAUAAAUAUUUUGACCUCAGAUUGUGGUCAAAACACUAUUCUGAUUUGACUAAAAAUGGGCUGUUACAAUUUUUAUCGUCAAGUAUCCACCGUUUGAUUAACAAAACUUCCAUAUGAUUUUGAUGUUUUGAGCCAUCAAUGGUGAAAACAUAUGGAGAAAUUGGACCCUAUCAGGGACUAAUUCAUCUGCAUAAAGUUCAACCAUUGUCCAGACCAAAGAAAAGAGAAAAAAAAACAUGUAGAGAUCAAUGUCAGAGAGGGAACUCAAAGAAAAAAAAAAGGAGAGGGAGAGAGAGAAAGAGAAAGAGGAAGAUUCAGUUUAUUUGAAAUUUAGACGCUCCAAUUCUUUAAUUCUACUUAACUAAAUUCCACAAAAUUCAAAACUCAGCUUUAAAAACCUAGUCUUUCCAAUACCUAGAUCUCAAUUUCCUUUAGUUUGAUUAAAUUUGCCACGUUUAAUUCAUUUCCCCUAUUUCUCAACUGCAACUAUUUGCAAUAAUUAGAGGUCCAAUAUUUCAAGAUAAACCUUAGUUAAUGUUAUUUGCUUUCUUUCCCCACCAAACAAAACAUCUUCUUCCUUUAAUCUCUUAAUUUCGUUUUGAAUUUCAACAAAAUUCCAAGGUAAGUUGUUGAAAGAGAAAAUAUUUUAAAAAUCUAAAAAUCUUAAAAUUGAAAGACAAAAAGUGAAACUUCCUGAUUAUUGCAAAUAUUUAACGUGUCUGUUUAAUGUUCUUUCCAAAUUGUGGAAAAUGUUAAACAAAACGACCACUUUCUCAAGACACCACAGUUUUCUUCUACAGUAACUGUCUUUUAGGUUGGGUUUUUUUAUGAAUUCAACCAGAGCAUCUUAUCUUAUAGUUCAAAAAAACUGAACUUUUCAUUCAUCUUUCUUUGUUGUUAUUUCGCAGCUAGCUAUCUUUGAUUCCUCUUUUGUUCCUAAAUUAUCUCUAAAUUUUCUAGAAUUUAUAUAUCCUCCACCUUGUAUUUUACUUUAGUAGAUUUUUUGUAAGUGCAGCAAACCCUAACUGUCAUGAUGUGUCGUCCAUAAGCAAUCCCACACAAAAACAGAGUGAAUAAAGCAUGGGAACAUAAAAAAAAAAGAGUUUUAAUUUAAGGAAAUAAAGUUACAACCAAAAAGAGUUCUUAUAAACCACUGUUGUAUUGUUGGUCUAUUAGAUAAUGCUUAUGAACUUUUGGAAGAGAUGAAACAGACAUACUAAAACAGAAUCAAAACUUUCCUUCAUUUUCUCGGUGACCAAACAAAAAGAAAGUGAAAAUGAUAUUCCUUACCUGAGUCAGUUGAGGAAAUCCGGUGGGCGCCAGCAACAGAGGAAGUCGGUGGGAGGUGGAGAUGAAUAUGGUGACUGGUGACUGGUGAGCAGCGCCGGGAGACAGCACUAUUGGAUCGAUAGAGGUGGUGGUAAGUUGGGGACUUUGAUUCUGGAAUUGGGAAUAAGGGGGGGAGGAAGGCACGAAAGUGAAAGUGAAACUAAAAAGAUAAAAUUAAAAAUAAAAAAUGAUUAAAAAUAAAAUAAAAUAUUUAGUACAUAACUCAGGCCGGGCCCAGGCCAAAAAAAUCUUACCCGAGGCUCGGCCCUUGUUUAAACAGGCCUCAUUUUUUGUCUAAACUAUUUU